CAGCGCCACGAGUGGCAAUCGUGUAUUUGGCCUAAAGCGUCCGUAGCCGGAUUUGUAAAUCUUUUGUGAAAUCGUUGAGCUCAACUUAACGGCGUGCAGAAGACACUGCGAGUCUUGAGACCGGGAGGAGAUAGAGGUAUUCUAGGGGGAGCGGUAAAAUGCUAUAAUCCCUGGAGGACCACCAGUGGCGAAGGCGUCUAUCCAGAACGGAUCUGACGGUGAGGGACGAAAGCCAGGGGAGCGAACCGGAUUAGAUACCCGCGUAGUCC
This 269-nucleotide ribosomal RNA is filed under the name uncultured archaeon. RNAcentral's name for it is "partial 16S ribosomal RNA". It matches the Rfam family "Archaeal small subunit ribosomal RNA", at positions 477 to 747 of the family's 1478-position model. The record is from RNAcentral.